RNAcentral lists this unclassified non-coding RNA (1246 nucleotides) under Hevea brasiliensis (rubber tree). Lineage: Eukaryota; Viridiplantae; Streptophyta; Magnoliopsida; Malpighiales; Euphorbiaceae. The record is from RNAcentral.
GGUACAUAUACACUCGUAAUUAAAGCAAGGAGGGGAAAUUUUCUAGCCAGAGAAAUUACUCUCAUUUCUUGCUUGCAUGCUCUAAAUACCAAAGUGGAUCCACAUCAUGGGAAGAGGCCCCUUCCAUUCGAUGAACCGGAGGAGAAAGAGGAAGAUCACAUCUUCCCAAUCUACUCAGCUCGAUCUCAACAAGACAUGAAUGCAAUGGUUGCAGUCCUAUCUCAAGUUAUUGGAAAUACCCACAAUAAUCCUCUUCAAGUUCAUGAAAAUCCAUUAACAACACAGCAAUCAACCACACAAGGGCAUGAUCAACCGCAGGCAGCCAGUUCAAGAUCAAGGGAACACGAGGAGAAGACACUAUAGAGGAGUGAGGCAGCGACCAUGGGGCAAAUGGGCUGCCGAGAUCCGGGAUCCAAAGAAGGCAGCUCGAGUAUGGCUCCGGACUUUUGAUAACGCCGAAGCUGCAGCACUUGCCUACGACGAAGCUGCUCUUAGGUUUAAAGGAAGUAAAGCUAAACUUAACUUCCCUGAAAGAGUUCAAGGCACAAGCGAAUUAGGUUUUUUGACUAAUCGCCGAGGUUUGCAUGGCACUGAACAAAUGAGUAAUCGAGUUAUUGCUCCUCCUCGUCCUCCACAAACACAACAAGAAGCAUACUCAAGUAGUCUUCAAUACCCACAGUUUAUGUUUCCAGGUGGGAACUAUGGCAAUGCUGUGCCUGCUGAUCCUUAUGGUAAAGAUCAGCCAUUUCUUUCGCGGACGUCAUCAUCUACAUCUUCAUCUUCAUCAUCCGUACCUUCUCAUCAACAAGAUGAACUCGUAAGAUUUUCAAUGCAGUUUGGGAGUCCUUACUCUCAUUCUAAUCAUCCUCCUACAAAUUGGAUGAACUUUGAUUCUAAACACGGAAGAGACUAGUACGUGUAGGCAGAAAAGUUUUACUAUUUGAGGAGAUAGCUAACUAGAGAGAAACUGUUGAACUUUCGGGUUAUGAUCAUGACGUUUUUCCCCUCUUCCACUUGCUUGUUUUUCUCUUUUCCUCUUUUGAUUUCCUUUUUCCCUUUUUGGGGUUAUUUAGUUAAUUUUCUUGCUUGUCGAUCCUCUUUCCCAUCUGGGGUAAUCAACUGGUAUUGUUUGUUGAUUUUAGUUCCUCUGCUUCUUUGGCUUGUGACUGCUCCAAGGCUUACGUUUGAAUGGAAUCCGUCUUUCUUUAAAAGCUAAUGCGAACCCAAAAGCAACCUUUACCUGAAA